CCUACGGGGGGCAGCAGUGAGGAAUAUUGGUCAAUGGCCGAGAGGCUGAACCAGCCAAGUCGCGUGAGGGAAGACGGCCCUACGGGUUGUAAACCUCUUUUGUCGGGGAGCAAAGAGAGUCACGUGUGACUCAUUGAGAGUACCCGAAGAAAAAGCAUCGGCUAACUCCGUGCCAGCAGCCGCGGUAAUACGGAGGAUGCGAGCGUUAUCCGGAUUUAUUGGGUUUAAAGCGUUCGUAGGCGGCAAGGUAAGUCUGAUGUGAAAGCCCGGGGCUCAACUCCGGUUCGGCAUUGGAUACUAUCUAGCUAGAAUGUGGUAGAGGUAAAGGGAAUUCCUGGUGUAGCGGUGAAAUGCGUAGAUAUCAGGAGGAACAUCGGUGGCGAAAGCGCUUUACUGGACCAUUAUUGACGCUGAGGAACGAAAGCCAGGGGAGCAAAUGGGAUUAGAUACCCCUGUAGUC
Molecule: ribosomal RNA, 460 nt
Filed under: uncultured bacterium
Lineage: Bacteria
Description: partial 16S ribosomal RNA
Rfam family: Bacterial small subunit ribosomal RNA
Source: RNAcentral